This 526-nucleotide ribosomal RNA is filed under the name Melipona scutellaris. RNAcentral's name for it is "partial 16S ribosomal RNA". The stretch from base 374 to 526 matches the Rfam family "Bacterial large subunit ribosomal RNA", at positions 2473 to 2626 of the family's 2925-position model. The record is from RNAcentral. Lineage: Eukaryota; Metazoa; Arthropoda; Insecta; Hymenoptera; Apidae.
GUCUUAUUGAUAAUAAUUUUAAGUCAAUCUCUGCCCAAUGAUUUAAUUAAAUGGCUGCAGUAUAAUUGACUGUACAAAGGUAGCAUAAUCAAUUGAUUUUUAAAUGGAAUCUGGAAUGAAAGGAUUAAUGAAAUAUAUACUGUCUCAUAUAUAUAAUAUGAAUUUAAAAUUUUAAUAAAAAUGUUAAAAUUUUUUUUUGGGACGAUAAGACCCUAUAGAAUUUUAUAUAAAGUUUAUUUUAUAUUAAUAUAAAAUUUGUUUUAUAUUUAAUUGGGAGAAUUAUUAAAUUAAAAAAAUUUUGAUUUUUAAAAACUUAGAUUAAAGAAGAUUUAUUGAUUUAGAAUUUUUAAUUAUUAGAAUAAAUUACCUUAGGGAUAACAGCGUAAUAUUUUUUUAUAGAUCUUAUAGAAAAAAAUGAUUGCGACCUCGAUGUUGAAUUAAGAUAAAUUUUAAAUGUAGAAGUUUAAUAAUUAAGUCUGUUCGACUUUUAAAAUCUUACAUGAUUUGAGUUCAAAUCGACGUGAGU